Molecule: ribosomal RNA, 522 nt
Filed under: uncultured bacterium
Lineage: Bacteria
Description: bacterial SSU rRNA
Rfam family: Bacterial small subunit ribosomal RNA
Source: RNAcentral
CAACGAGAACGCUUCAGCUUGCUGAAGUUAGUAAAGUGGCGCACGGGUGAGUAACGCGUGGGUAAUCUACCCUCGAAUUGGGGAUAACAUCGCGAAAGUGAUGCUAAUACCGGAUAAUAUCUUAGAAACCUCGGUUUUAAAGAUCAAAGGUGGCCUCUACAUGUAAGCUUCUGUUUGGGGAUGAGCCCGCGUACCAUUAGCUUGUUGGUAGGGUAAUGGCCUACCAAGGCUGCGAUGGUUAGCUGGUCUGAGAGGAUGAUCAGCCACACUGGAACUGACACACGGUCCAGACUCCUACGGGAGGCAGCAGUGAGGAAUUUUGCGCAAUGGGGGAAACCCUGACGCAGCAACGCCGCGUGAGUGAUGAAGGCUUUCGGGUCGUAAAGCUCUGUCAAGUGGGAAGAACCCACAUGGUGAUAAUACCACUAUGUGCUGACGGUACCACUGAAGGAAGCACCGGCUAACUCCGUGCCAGCAGCCGCGGUAAUACGGGGGGUGCAAGCGUUAUUCGGAAUUACUGGG